UCUGUGGGGCAUUGGGCGCCCAGCAGUGCGAUUCUCGUGCCCGUGGCCGUCACACGCAUCGCGCGCUACUCUUUCAGUUCCCCACAUUUUCCGACGCGAGCGCUCACGCUUCUGUAGCGCGCCUUAUAUUUGUGUAUGAACCGACAACCAUGAAAUCGUGUUUUAUCGAGUACAACACUCGGUUAUGACGACAGACUAGUUGAAGAGGUAGUUGAAGUUGUUCGCGACAAGGCUACCGUCACUGCAGUGCCGAUGACCAGCCGGUGCGGGACGCGAGCGCACCGCGAGCAUGUCGAACGCGACCGACGCGUACUGCGUGCCUGGCGCCACCAACUUCAACAAGGCGUACAGCCGCCUGCACGGCUACAUCGCGCUGGUGAUAUGCAUCGUCGGCUCCGCCACCAACUCUAUCAACAUCGCGGUGCUCAGCCGCCGCGAGAUGACCAGCUCCACCAACUCCAUCCUCACCGGCCUCGCCGUCGCAGACCUACUAGUCAUGCUCGAAUACAUACCCUACGCACUACACAUGAACAUCAAAAUUGGACCCCAAGUUAACAAGAACACUUACGCUUGGGCGGUGUUUGUUUAUUUUCAUUCAAUAUUCAGUCAAACGUUUCAUACAAUUUCUAUUUGGUUGGCGGUGACUCUGGCUGUGUGGAGAUACGUUGCGAUCGCGUUUCCCCAGCGGAAUAGCACCUGGUGUAGCAAGAAAAACACGACUCUCGCUAUCGUGAGCGCUUAUGUGAUAUGUCCUUUUUUGUGUCUUCCUAUCUAUUUCGCGAUGAAUAUAGUGCCCAGUGAAGUGACUGCUCAAAACAAUUCAGAAUUCGCAGAGGACCUUUCCCUGCCGGACAAUCGGACCGUUUAUGUUUUAGAAAUGUCCAAAAACGUACAAUUAGUGACAGCAAUCAUGUGGAUUUAUAGUGUAAUAUUAAAACUAGUUCCGAGUAUAGCGCUGUCGAUAUUGAGUACUUGUUUAAUAUCAAAGUUGACGACAACGGAGCGAAAGAGGCAAAAACUUCUGAAGCGUUCAACAAUCGGGCCGAAUGAGCCUGAGAAACAGUGCCUAGCGACGGAGGAGGCGUGCGCGCGGCGAGCCAGUCGCACGGAUCGCACGACGCGCAUGCUCCUAGCUGUGCUAGGGCUGUUCCUAUCCACAGAGGUGCCUCAAGGUCUGCUGGGGCUGGCCAGCGCCCUCGCUCCAGACUUCUUUCAGAGCUGUUAUAGCAUGUUCGGUGACCUGAUGGAUGUGCUAGCACUGUUCACGUCAUCAGUGAACUUCGUCCUCUACUGCAGCAUGAGUCGGCAGUUCCGCUGCACCUUCGCUCGGCUGGCCAGACGCAUGCUGUCAGCCGCCGAGGAGCCAGCCAAACUAGCUAAUAAGUUAGAACCGACCACGCAGGUCACCGGGCCGCUAUAGCGCCAAAUUCCCACCCUCAUAAGGGUGGUAGAAGAGAGUAUUAUAUAAAUAACGAUACAGGUACAAUUGCUCUCUACAACUUCGACAGCGUAAUUCACAAGCCUAAGUAGCAUUUAUUUUAUAGGUAGCUAUCAUAAGAAUUCUAAUAAUUACCAUUUUAAGCCGUAGUCACACGUUACUAGAUAAUAAUUGUGUAAAUAUUUUAAGCCAAAGCUAGGAAUAACAUUGUAAUUUGUAUCUUAAUUAAAUAGAUUUGUAACUUAGUUUUUGUGUCUUAUGAGCCGUGACACAAAAACUAACUUCUUCAAACUGUUACAAUUUAAACUGUAAAUAUUUUUACAACGUUAUUUUUUAAUUAUUAAAACUGUUGUAGAACGGAUUAAUGUAGUUUUACUUAGGGUCCAAUGAUAUGCAUAAUUUUUAAACAUUAAAUGUAAAUACUUUAUUACUUUUGUGAACAUUUGCAUUUAUAUCGAAUUUCUCUGAUAGACAAUUAUGUUGUUUGUGAAUAUUGUAACGAAUUUAUAUUAUAAUUGUCAAAUACAAUUGCAUUUUUUUAUAAAUAAUGUAAAAAAUUAAGGUGUUUCUUUCGAUGUAUGCUGAUCUGCUCUUAUCGAACAUUUUAGUGUAAUGUACCUAACAGCUUAGUCACCAAAGCAUGUACCAAAGUUGAAUGUAAAAGGUAAAACCUACGUGUUCAUUGUGCGCACCAUUAUUAUCAUAUUAAACCGAUUAAUUUUCUA
RNAcentral lists this unclassified non-coding RNA (2163 nucleotides) under Helicoverpa zea (corn earworm). RNAcentral describes it as "g-protein coupled receptor dmsr-1-like, transcript variant X1". Lineage: Eukaryota; Metazoa; Arthropoda; Insecta; Lepidoptera; Noctuidae. The record is from RNAcentral.